GCCAGACUCCUACGGGAGGCAGCAGUGGGGGAUAUUGCACAAUGGGGGAAACCCUGAUGCAGCGACACCGCGUGGGUGAGGAAGCGCUUCGGCGUGUAAAGCCCUAUCAGUGGGGAAGAAAAAGGACGGUACCCAAAGAAGAAGCACCGGCUAAAUACGUGCCAGCAGCCGCGGUAAUACGUAUGGUGCAAGCGUUAUCCGGAUUUACUGGGCGUAAAGGGAGCGCAGGCGGCGCGCCAAGUCUGAUGUGAAACCCCGGGGCUCAACCCCGGGCAUGCAUUGGAAACUGGCGGGCUGGAGUGCCGGAGAGGUAAGCGGAAUUCCUAGUGUAGCGGUGAAAUGCGUAGAUAUUAGGAGGAACACCAGUGGCGAAGGCGGCUUACUGGACGGCAACUGACGCUGAGGCUCGAAAGCGUGGGGAGCAAACAGGAUUAGAUACCCCCGUAC
This 447-nucleotide ribosomal RNA is filed under the name uncultured bacterium. Its description in RNAcentral is "partial 16S ribosomal RNA". It matches the Rfam family "Bacterial small subunit ribosomal RNA", at positions 330 to 793 of the family's 1533-position model. The record is from RNAcentral.